Long non-coding RNA from Heterocephalus glaber (naked mole-rat), 347 nucleotides. The record is from Ensembl. NCBI's taxonomy places the organism in Eukaryota, Metazoa, Chordata, Mammalia, Rodentia, Bathyergidae.
GCUGCUCUGACUGACACUCUGACACUUACGCCUUCUCUAACGGACAGUGACGCAAUGGACCCUGAUGCAUCCACUCAAUUUCUUGAAAGCAGUUUGUAGAUUCUCCUCCUUGCCAUCCUUGGCUUCAGAUUUCAUUGUGCAAGAUUUUACACUUCUAUAGAUGUUCCCAUGAAUACUCCUCAUAGCUGGGGCACUCUGGCAAUCCAGUCCCAUCAGUUCAGAAGGAAGGACAAACUGUACUAUCCCUUCACUGCAAGCAGAGGACUGCGAUUGCAGACCUGGGCAAAUGUGGGUGCAUAACGCUAGGAGGAUACAGGCCUGCAGACAACACCAGAGAGGCAUGCUCC